This 253-nucleotide ribosomal RNA is filed under the name uncultured bacterium. RNAcentral describes it as "partial 16S ribosomal RNA". It matches the Rfam family "Bacterial small subunit ribosomal RNA", at positions 524 to 776 of the family's 1533-position model. The record is from RNAcentral.
GACGUAGGGUGCGAGCGUUGUCCGGAUUUAUUGGGCGUAAAGAGCUCGUAGGCGGUCUGUCGCGUCUGCUGUGAAAACUCGGGGCUUAACCCCGGGCCUGCAGUGGGUACGGGCAGACUAGAGUGCGGUAGGGGAGACUGGAAUUCCUGGUGUAGCGGUGAAAUGCGCAGAUAUCAGGAGGAACACCGGUGGCGAAGGCGGGUCUCUGGGCCGUAACUGACGCUGAGGAGCGAAAGCGUGGGGAGCGAACAGG